Molecule: long non-coding RNA, 1538 nt
Organism: Manis javanica (Malayan pangolin)
Lineage: Eukaryota; Metazoa; Chordata; Mammalia; Pholidota; Manidae
Source: RefSeq, a predicted model, not a curated record
GUCGGUUACACGCGCCAUGUCGAGAAGGUCAGCGCCUUCCUCGACAGGACGGCCAUGAUGAGGAGGUCGGACUCGGCCGUUAAGGCCGCCAUGUUGGACGAGUCAGAGGGUGUUUGGGCUGUGCAUGUCCAGUAAGCAAUUGAGUCAGCUGUCCUGAAAACUGGAGGAUCUCGUUGGAGAAAAAAAAUCACUUGAGCUGAUUGUGAGAAAUUGAACAGUAGCAGAAGGAGGAAGAUGAGAGAAGAAAGGAGCCACCAUGUCCAAAUAAGCAGAUAAUGGAGUGAACUGGUGUGGUGGAACCCAGAAGGACGAGGAGGAGUGUUGGACCCAGUUGCUCCCAACCACAUGCUUUAUAGAUUCCUGGGUCUUGUCUUCAUUUCUCUCCCCACAUGCUGUGCAGCCCCCUCUCCCCAUUUACUACCUGGCCGCAUUUGCAGGGAACCUGCAGCUGCUCUUGAUCAGUCCGUGCAUUGAAUGUGAAUGUGUAGUGUGCAAGGUCUGGGUCCCCUGCAAGGUUCGGAUGUUCCUCGGGAGCAUUCAGAGCACCCCAGAAGAGAUUCGUUUUAAGCGUUGGGGUCUUCUUGUUCCCGAACUACUCUCUGUGGCUAAGCCCUCACAGUGGUCGCGGUGGGUGGAAAUCCAGAACAGGCACUGUGUCUAAUUGUUGGUAACCUAUGGAUGGAGGGAGCUGUGGUGCCUAUCUGGUCCCAGUUUAUAAAUAAAUGAACAUUCAUUAAUGUAAAAUUAAAUUAGACUGAAAUUUCCCAUCCAGUUUUGUUUAGAAGGCAGAAAUAACUGGGUUGGCUGUGUAAUUUUGCUGCAGAUACUGGAGCAUGUAGUCACAAGGUGAUAAUAAUAAUAGUAAUUUGCUCUUUGUUGGUGCCUUCGUCCCCAGAUCUCAAGGCAGAUAUUACCACCUUGCUUUUGCAAAGGUUCAUUGAGGUUAAAGGGCUAGCUAGAAGUUAUCAUCAAGGGGGUGAGUGCAGAGGCCUUAAAACUUUUUGGCCCAUUAGACCUUGAGCUUGUCAGUAAACAGAAAGUGGAAGAGGAUCCAGGAGACCAGAAUUCCAGACCUUGCUCUGUGUGGGUAAAAUUGUAACUUAUCCAGAAUACCUCCCCGGGCUUUAGUACAUAUGCACAUCAACAGGAGCUCAAGGGUGGAGAGAAGUACCGCUUUAGUGGAUUUGCAUAAUUCCUCAGGGGUGGAGAGUUUAUCUCCAUAUCAGUGGGUAAUUACCUGGGCAACAGAGGGCUUAUCUGUACCUGAGAUGUGAGGAGGAGGGUCGGUUUUGCUGCUGCUGAAGCAGGAGAGAGGUGGGUCGGACUGGGACUGAAGUUUGUAAGCAAUAAACGGGUUUUAAACUUUAUUUCUCCCUUUGACUGAUUUUGUUUUUUAGAGGUAUUUUGCCCCAGGAUUUCCUUUCCCUGGACUUAUAUCUGGUGCAGUUGGCAGGGUUUCUCUGAACCCAAAAUCUUAUAAUGGGUGUGACCUUUGGGAGGGCUGCCCCAAGAAAUGAUGGGGAGAAGUGGAGUUUGCA